Schistosoma curassoni is the source of this 46-nucleotide non-coding RNA. NCBI's taxonomy places the organism in Eukaryota, Metazoa, Platyhelminthes, Trematoda, Strigeidida, Schistosomatidae. The record is from Rfam.
GUACUGCUGAGAUGUCCCACAAUAGGACGAAACGGUCGUCCAGUGC